Molecule: ribosomal RNA, 1438 nt
Filed under: uncultured organism
Description: SSU rRNA
Rfam family: Bacterial small subunit ribosomal RNA
Source: RNAcentral
GGCGUGCUUACACAUGCAAGUCGAACGAAGAUAUUUAGAAUGAGAGCUUCGGCAGGAUUUUUAUCUAUCUUAGUGGCGGACGGGUGAGUAACGUGUGGGCAACCUGCCCUGUACUGUGGAAUAAUCAUUGGAAACGAUGACUAAUACCGCAUGUGGUCCUCGGAAGGCAUCUUCUGAGGAAGAAAGGAUUUAUUCGGUACAGGAUGGGCCCGCAUCUGAUUAGCUAGUUGGUGAGAUAACAGCCCACCAAGGCGACGAUCAGUAGCCGACCUGAGAGGGUGAUCGGCCACAUUGGGACUGAGACACGGCCCAAACUCCUACGGGAGGCAGCAGUGGGGAAUAUUGCACAAUGGGCGAAAGCCUGAUGCAGCAACGCCGCGUGAAGGAUGAAGGGUUUCGGCUCGUAAACUUCUAUCAAUAGGGAAGAAACAAAUGACGGUACCUAAAUAAGAAGCCCCGGCUAACUACGUGCCAGCAGCCGCGGUAAUACGUAGGGGGCAAGCGUUAUCCGGAAUUACUGGGUGUAAAGGGAGCGUAGGCGGCAUGGUAAGCCAGAUGUGAAAGCCUUGGGCUUAACCCGAGGACUGCAUUUGGAACUAUCAAGCUAGAGUACAGGAGAGGAAAGCGGAAUUCCUAGUGUAGCGGUGAAAUGCGUAGAUAUUAGGAAGAACACCAGUGGCGAAGGCGGCUUUCUGGACUGAAACUGACGCUGAGGCUCGAAAGCGUGGGGAGCAAACAGGAUUAGAUACCCUGGUAGUCCACGCCGUAAAACGAUGAGUGCUAGGUGUCGGGGAGGAAUCCUCGGUGCCGCAGCUAACGCAAUAAGCACUCCACCUGGGGAGUACGACCGCAAGGUUGAAACUCAAAGGAAUUGACGGGGGCCCGCACAAGCGGUGGAGCAUGUGGUUUAAUUCGAAGCAACGCGAAGAACCUUACCAAGGCUUGACAUCCCGAUGACCGUCCUAGAGAUAGGACUUCUCUUCGGAGCAUCGGUGACAGGUGGUGCAUGGUUGUCGUCAGCUCGUGUCGUGAGAUGUUGGGUUAAGUCCCGCAACGAGCGCAACCCUUAUCUUCAGUAGCCAUCAUUCAGUUGGGCACUCUGGAGAGACUGCCGUGGAUAACACGGAGGAAGGUGGGGAUGACGUCAAAUCAUCAUGCCCCUUAUGUCUUGGGCUACACACGUGCUACAAUGGCUGGUAACAAAGUGACGCGAGACGGCGACGUUAAGCAAAUCACAAAAACCCAGUCCCAGUUCGGAUUGUAGUCUGCAACUCGACUACAUGAAGCUGGAAUCGCUAGUAAUCGCGAAUCAGCAUGUCGCGGUGAAUACGUUCCCGGGCCUUGUACACACCGCCCGUCACACCAUGGGAGUUGGAAGCACCCGAAGUCGGUGACCUAACCGUAAGGAAGGAGCCGCCGAAGGUGAAGCCAGUGACUG